Molecule: ribosomal RNA, 1071 nt
Filed under: Triticum aestivum (bread wheat)
Lineage: Eukaryota; Viridiplantae; Streptophyta; Magnoliopsida; Poales; Poaceae
Description: partial small subunit ribosomal RNA
Source: RNAcentral
AUGGCGGGCGCCGGCGGCAGGAGCAGGGAGCGGCUCACGUCGCGCGCGGAGGAGGCUGCGGGGGGCAAGCGGCGGAGGCAGAGGUGGGAGGUGGAGUUCGCGCGCUACUUCGCGAAGCCGCGGCGCGCCCCCUCGACGCCGCCGCCCCCCGGCCUCCGCUACAUAUCCCGCGGCAAGCAACUCCACCAGGGCACCUGGCUCCUGGCCGCCUCCCCCGCCGCCCUCUGCAUCUCUCGCCCCACCCACUCCUUCGCCGCCCGCGUCCUCACCGUCUCCAUCGGCGACGUCGUCUACGAGGAGCACUAUGUGUCUAUCCUCAACUUCUCAUGGCCACAGGUUGCAUGCGUGACAGAGUGCCCAGUUAGAGGGAGCAGGGUGGUGUUCGUGAGCUUUUGUGAUAGGUCCAAACAGGUCCAGAAGUUUGCUGUACGUUUCGCUCGCCUCAGUGAUGCAGAAUCAUUCUUGAAUAGUGUGAAGGAACUCUCAAGCAACACCAUGGACAUCAUGCCAUCUGGAAGCGACUAUAUGUGUGAGCAUGAAGAUUCAUCAUCAUCUGAAUAUAUUCCUUCUAAUGGACUUCAAUACAGGCCUGAUGAAGCGGUAAGCUUUGAGGAGCCAACUUCUGAUCACAGGACAGAUGCACCUGCUGUUGGCUACCACAUGGAACCAGAUCAGCCUGUUCUUCAAUCUCCCAUUGCUACAAAUAUCAAUAGCAUCUGCUCUGGUUUUCCUGAGGGUUACUCUGGCUUCCCUGAGGGUUACUCUGGUUUCCCUGAGGGUUACUCUGGUUCAGUUAAAAUUGAGAGAGAUGGAGGACCCUUUCCAGCAACUAUAACUGAUCAUGCUCCUGAAAAGGCCUACAUACUGGACACUCGGCUUGAUGCUGCCGGUGGAAAUUCGGUUGCUGAUAAAGGAAAGGGUGCUGGUAAAGAGAUUGAUGUUAGUGACGUAACACGUGAUAUUUUGGCAGGGAUAGAGACAUAUGUGGGGGAUGACUCUUUUCAUGAUAUGCUGUCCAAGCUCGACAAAGCCAUUGAUGAACUGGGUGGUGACAUGUUGCUUGCCUCUUGA